ACUCCUACGGGAGGCAGCAGUGGGAAUAUUGCACAAUGGGCGCAAGCCUGAUGCAGCCAUGCCGCGUGUGUGAAGAAGGCCUUCGGGUUGUAAAGCACUUUCAGUCGUGAGGAAGGUAGUGUAGUUAAUAGCUGCAUUAUUUGUACGUUAGCGACAGAAGAAGCACCGGCUAACUCCGUGCCAGCAGCCGCGGUAAUACGGAGGGUGCGAGCGUUAAUCGGAAUUACGUGGGCGUAAAGCGCAUGCAGGUGGUUGUUAAGUCAGAUGUGAAAGCCCGGGGCUCAACCUCGGAAUAGCAUUUGAAACUGGCAGACUAGAGUACUGUAGAGGGGGUAGAAUUUCAGGUGUAGCGGUGAAAUGCGUAGAGAUCUGAAGGAAUACCGGUGGCGAAGGCGGCCCCUGGACAGAUACUGACACUCAGAUGCGAAAGCGUGGGAGCAAACAGGAUUAGAU
RNAcentral lists this ribosomal RNA (453 nucleotides) under uncultured bacterium. RNAcentral's name for it is "bacterial SSU rRNA". It matches the Rfam family "Bacterial small subunit ribosomal RNA", at positions 335 to 783 of the family's 1533-position model. The record is from RNAcentral.